UGAAGUUCUUUUCUUAUUUCCUUCUUCUCUCUUUCUUUUAUACUGACAUCAGACACAAGUUUGAGGAGAUGACAGAGAAAUUCACAGUGACUCAAAUAGCAGUAGUGAGAACAUAAUGGAAAGAGAUGUAUGUAUGUAUGUAUUGGUUUAGCGUCCCAGAGAAGACACAGGCAAUGCCUGCACUUCAAAAGCCUCCCGAAGGGCAUGGGGACGUGCUACGUUGGAGAAAUCUCUAUAUACACAGUAAUGAUAGACACAGGAUCCAGAUAGCAACUCUUGAGAAGACUCAGUCUAUAUAGACUGUACAUCCACUUCUGGCCCGACGUAUGGCCAUUCAUGGUAG
This 343-nucleotide small RNA is filed under the name Histoplasma ohiense. Its description in RNAcentral is "hypothetical lncRNA". Lineage: Eukaryota; Fungi; Ascomycota; Eurotiomycetes; Onygenales; Ajellomycetaceae. The record is from RNAcentral.